CCUACGGGUGGCAGCAGUGAGGAAUAUUGGUCAAUGGUCGGGAGACUGAACCAGCCAAGCCGCGUGAGGGAUGAAGGUACAGAGUAUCGUAAACCUCUUUUGUCAGGGAACAAAGGCGGGGACGUGUCCCCGGAUGAGUGUAGCUGAAGAAAAAGCAUCGGCAAACUCCGUGCCAUCAGCCGCGGUAAUACUAGGGAUGCGGGGGUUGUCCGGAUUUAUUGGGUUAAAAGGGUGCGCAGGCGGUCUGUUAAGUCAGCGGUCAAAGCCAGGGGCUCAACCCCGGCCCGCCGUUGAAACUGGCAGUCUCGAGUUGGAGAGAAGUAUGCGGAAUGCGCGGUGUAGCGGUGAAAUGCAUAGAUAUCGCGCAGAACUCCGAUUGCGAAGGCAGCAUGCCGGCUCCACACUGACGCUGAGGCACGAAAGCGUGGGUAUCGAACAGGAUUAGAUACCCCGGUAGUC
This 459-nucleotide ribosomal RNA is filed under the name uncultured bacterium. RNAcentral's name for it is "partial 16S ribosomal RNA". It matches the Rfam family "Bacterial small subunit ribosomal RNA", at positions 338 to 795 of the family's 1533-position model. The record is from RNAcentral.